RNAcentral lists this ribosomal RNA (402 nucleotides) under uncultured bacterium. RNAcentral's name for it is "bacterial SSU rRNA". It matches the Rfam family "Bacterial small subunit ribosomal RNA", at positions 355 to 774 of the family's 1533-position model. The record is from RNAcentral.
UGGGGAAUAUUGGACAAUGGGCGAAAGCCUGAUCCAGCCAUGCCGCGUGAGUGAUGAAGGCCCUAGGGUUGUAAAGCUCUUUUGUGCGGGAAGAUAAUGACGGUACCGCAAGAAUAAGCCCCGGCUAACUUCGUGCCAGCAGCCGCGGUAAUACGAAGGGGGCUAGCGUUGCUCGGAAUCACUGGGCGUAAAGGGUGCGUAGGCGGGUUUCUAAGUCAAAGGUGAAAGCCUGGAGCUCAACUCCAGAACUGCCUUUGAUACUGGAAGUCUUGAGUUCGGGAGAGGUGAGUGGAACUGCGAGUGUAGAGGUGAAAUUCGUAGAUAUUCGCAAGAACACCAGUGGCGAAGGCGGCUCACUGGCCCGAUACUGACGCUGAGGCACGAAAGCGUGGGGAGCAAACA